UUAAUCAAAGCCAAAAAGAGGCUUGCUAUUGUUAAUAGCAAAAUUGAAAAUUUAUUCUGAUUAUU
RNAcentral lists this transfer RNA (65 nucleotides) under Aptinothrips stylifer. RNAcentral's name for it is "tRNA-Asn". The record is from RNAcentral. Lineage: Eukaryota; Metazoa; Arthropoda; Insecta; Thysanoptera; Thripidae.